GUAGGAAUAGCUCAAUGUAGAGCACAGGCUUGGCAUGCAUGAGGUCCUGGGUUCAAUUCCCAGUGCUUCCA
RNAcentral lists this transfer RNA (71 nucleotides) under Camelus bactrianus (Bactrian camel). It matches the Rfam family "tRNA". Rfam says of the family: Transfer RNA (tRNA) molecules are approximately 80 nucleotides in length. Their secondary structure includes four short double-helical elements and three loops (D, anti-codon, and T loops). Lineage: Eukaryota; Metazoa; Chordata; Mammalia; Artiodactyla; Camelidae. The record is from Rfam by way of RNAcentral. RNAcentral also lists the same sequence under 2 other names.